GAAGAAGAUGAGACUGUAGACAAAAAGCCAACUCUACUCAGUGCCCAGGAAGAUACUCCUGACCUUCUCUAUGAGGACAGAUUACAGUGUCUGCAGGAAGAGGGUUCCGGUGUGAUUCAUCAGGAAUGUCAGAUCCAGUCCUGUGAGCUCUCGAUGGCUCAGAAGCCCAGGCCCUCUUCUCCUGCAGUGACAUCCUUGGCAUCACCACCACUCUGCUUUGGCAGUUUCCUAAGCUGUGUCUGCCAGACCAUCUCAAGGUCUAGGAAGCAGAAGCCUCGCAGAAGAAAGGGUAACAACCAGGCUGAGGCAGGAGUAGGACACUUUUCUAACGUCAGUCAUGCUUUGAUACUUUUAGUUGUCUAAAAAGUCGUUGAUUUCUCAUUUUAAACAGUAUUGAGUUUUCUUGAGCUAAUUGACCACGAUAAAUGGGUUUUAUUACAUAAAAUUUCAAAUUAUCCAAACUAUAUCUAUAUUUACAUACAUAUUUUCUCCAUUUAAUACAAGAAGCACACUCCCAGGUGAGGCAUAAUGUAUGAAAGUCCCGAGUCGUAGAGCCUGUUAUUAAAAGCUCACCAGAAUGCAGGUAUUUGUGCUGCUAUUAUACUUUAUUAUUGUUAUUAUUUAUCAUAAUAAGUGUUUCAGGUUAGUUGUUCUGUCAUAGAAAAACUAUUAGUGGGAGCCUAGUUAGCCAUAUCUUCAGCCCCAUCUACAAUACUGAUUUUCACAUAAAAGUUAUUUGCUAC
This 743-nucleotide long non-coding RNA is filed under the name Pongo abelii (Sumatran orangutan). RNAcentral's name for it is "lincRNA". The record is from RNAcentral. Lineage: Eukaryota; Metazoa; Chordata; Mammalia; Primates; Hominidae.